This 494-nucleotide ribosomal RNA is filed under the name uncultured bacterium. Its description in RNAcentral is "partial 16S ribosomal RNA". It matches the Rfam family "Bacterial small subunit ribosomal RNA", at positions 28 to 507 of the family's 1533-position model. The record is from RNAcentral.
GACGAACGCUGGCGGCGCGCUUAACACAUGCAAGUCGAACGGAAAGGCCUGCUUUCCCUUGUGGAUUGCGGGUACUCGAGUGGCGAACGGGUGAGUAACACGUGAGUGAUCUGCCCCCAACUUGGGUAUAAGCCUGGGAAACUGGGUCUAAUUCCCGAUAGGACUGCAGGGUGGUGCCUGUGGUGGAAAACGAUUUUCUAGUGGUUGGGGAUGAGCUCGCGGCCUAUCAGCUUGUUGGUGGGGUAAUGGCCUACCAAGGCGGCGACGGGUAGCCGGCCUGAGAGGGUGGACGGCCACAGUGAGACUGAGAUACGGCCCAGACUCCUACGGGAGGCAGCAGUGGGGAAUAUUGCACAAUGGGCGGAAGCCUGAUGCAGCGACGCCGCGUGGGGGAUGACGGCCUUCGGGUUGUAAACUCCUUUCGACCGCGAGGAAGCCACCUGGUUGGAAGGGUGGUGACGGUAGUGGUAGAAGAAGCACCGGCUAACUACGUG